GCGGAGGAUAAUCUCGGGAAAUUGAGGAUAAUACUCCAUAGGUCAGGGGAUUUGGAAUAACCCCUGGCUCAAAGUUCAGGCGCUUAAGGAUCGCUCUGCGGCUUAUCAGGUUGUAGUGGGUGUAACGUACCCCCUAGCCCAUGACGAGUACGGGCCUUGAGAGAGGAAGCCCGGAGUUGGAUUCUGAGACACGAAUCCAGGCCCUACGGGGCGCAGCAGUCGCGAAAACUUCACACUGGGGGCAACCCCGAUGAGGGAAUUCCUAGUGCCAGGGCUUUUUGUUCUGGCUUUUCUCCGGCGUAGAUAACCGGAGGAAUAAGGGCUGGGUAAGACGGGUGCCAGCCGCCGCGGUAAUACCUGCAGCCCGAGUGGUGGUCGAUUUUAUUGAGUCUAAAACGUUCGUAGCCUGUCCGGUAAAUCCCUGGGUAAAUCGGGAAGCUUAACUUUCCGACUUCCGGGGAGACUGCCGGACUUGGGACCGGGAGAGGCUAGAGGUACUUCCGGGGUAGGGGUAAAAUCCUGUAAUCCUGGAAGGACCACCGGUGGCGAAGGCGUCUAGCUAGAACGGAUCCGACGGUGAGGGACGAAGCCCUGGGUCGCAAACGGGAUUAGAUACCCCGGUAGUCCAGGGUGUAAACGCUGCAGACUUGGUGUUGGAGGCCCUUCGGGGGCAUUCAGUGCCGGAGAGAAGUUGUUAAGUCUGCUACUUGGGGAGUACGUCCGCAAGGAUGAAACUUAA
Molecule: ribosomal RNA, 739 nt
Filed under: uncultured archaeon
Lineage: Archaea
Description: bacterial SSU rRNA
Rfam family: Archaeal small subunit ribosomal RNA
Source: RNAcentral